GACGAACGCUGGCGGCGUGCCUAAUACAUGCAAGUAGAACGCUGAAGAGAGGAGCUUGCUCUUCUUGGAUGAGUUGCGAACGGGUGAGUAACGCGUAGGUCACCUGCCUUGUAGCGGGGGAUAACUAUUGGAAACGAUAGCUAAUACCGCAUAACCAUGGAUGACACAUGUCAUUUAUUUGAAAGGGGCAAUUGCUCCACUACAAGAUGGACCUGCGGUGUAUUAGCUAGUAGGUGAGGUAAUGGCUCACCUAGGCGACGAUACAUAGCCGACCUGAGAGGGUGAGCGGCCACACUGGGACGGAGACACGGCCCAGACUCCUACGGGAGGCAGCAGGAGGGAAUCUUCGGCAAUGGGGGCAACCUUGACCGAGCAACGCCGCGUGAGUGAAGAAGGUUUUCGGAUCGUAAAGCUCGGUUGUAAGUCAAGAACGGGUGUGAGAGUGGAAAGUUCACACUGUGACGGUAGCUUAUCAGAAAGGGACGGCUAACUACGUG
Molecule: ribosomal RNA, 497 nt
Filed under: uncultured bacterium
Lineage: Bacteria
Description: partial 16S ribosomal RNA
Rfam family: Bacterial small subunit ribosomal RNA
Source: RNAcentral